RNAcentral lists this ribosomal RNA (1986 nucleotides) under human gut metagenome. RNAcentral's name for it is "bacterial LSU rRNA". It matches the Rfam family "Bacterial large subunit ribosomal RNA", at positions 3 to 1987 of the family's 2925-position model. The record is from RNAcentral.
UUAAGUUAUUAAGGGCGCACGGUGGAUGCCUUGGCACUAGAAGCCGAUGAAGGACGUUACUAACGACGAUAUGCUUUGGGGAGCUGUAAGUAAGCUUUGAUCCAGAGAUUUCCGAAUGGGGAAACCCAGCAUGAGUUAUGUCAUGUUAUCGAUAUGUGAAUACAUAGCAUAUCAGAAGGCACACCCGGAGAACUGAAACAUCUUAGUACCCGGAGGAAGAGAAAGAAAAUUCGAUUCCCUUAGUAGCGGCGAGCGAAACGGGAAGAGCCCAAACCAACAAGCUUGCUUGUUGGGGUUGUAGGACACUCUAUACGGAGUUACAAAGGACGACAUUAGACGAAUCAUCUGGAAAGAUGAAUCAAAGAAGGUAAUAAUCCUGUAGUCGAAAAUGUUGUCUCUCUUGAGUGGAUCCUGAGUACGACGGAGCACGUGAAAUUCCGUCGGAAUCUGGGAGGACCAUCUCCUAAGGCUAAAUACUCUCUAGUGACCGAUAGUGAACCAGUACCGUGAGGGAAAGGUGAAAAGUACCCCGGAAGGGGAGUGAAAGAGAACUUGAAACCGUGUGCUUACAAGUAGUCAGAGCCCGUUAAUGGGUGAUGGCGUGCCUUUUGUAGAAUGAACCGGCGAGUUACGAUCUGAUGCAAGGUUAAGCAGCAAAUGUGGAGCCGCAGCGAAAGCGAGUCUGAAUAGGGCGUUGAGUAUUUGGUCGUAGACCCGAAACCAGGUGAUCUACCCUUGGUCAGGUUGAAGUUCAGGUAACACUGAAUGGAGGACCGAACCGACUUACGUUGAAAAGUGAGCGGAUGAACUGAGGGUAGCGGAGAAAUUCCAAUCGAACCUGGAGAUAGCUGGUUCUCUCCGAAAUAGCUUUAGGGCUAGCCUCAAGUGAUGAUUAUUGGAGGUAGAGCACUGUUUGGACGAGGGGCCCCUCUCGGGUUACCGAAUUCAGACAAACUCCGAAUGCCAAUUAAUUUAACUUGGGAGUCAGAACAUGGGUGAUAAGGUCCGUGUUCGAAAGGGAAACAGCCCAGACCACCAGCUAAGGUCCCAAAAUAUAUGUUAAGUGGAAAAGGAUGUGGCGUUGCCCAGACAACUAGGAUGUUGGCUUAGAAGCAGCCAUCAUUUAAAGAGUGCGUAAUAGCUCACUAGUCGAGUGACACUGCGCCGAAAAUGUACCGGGGCUAAACAUAUUACCGAAGCUGUGGAUUGUCCUUUGGACAAUGGUAGGAGAGCGUUCUAAGGGCGUCGAAGCAUGAUCGCAAGGACAUGUGGAGCGCUUAGAAGUGAGAAUGCCGGUGUGAGUAGCGAAAGACGGGUGAGAAUCCCGUCCACCGAUUGACUAAGGUUUCCAGAGGAAGGCUCGUCCGCUCUGGGUUAGUCGGGUCCUAAGCUGAGGCCGACAGGCGUAGGCGAUGGAUAACAGGUUGAUAUUCCUGUACCACCUAUAAUCGUUUUAAUCGAUGGGGGGACGCAGUAGGAUAGGCGAAGCGUGCGAUUGGAUUGCACGUCUAAGCAGUAAGGCUGAGUAUUAGGCAAAUCCGGUACUCGUUAAGGCUGAGCUGUGAUGGGGAGAAGACAUUGUGUCUUCGAGUCGUUGAUUUCACACUGCCGAGAAAAGCCUCUAGAUAGAAAAUAGGUGCCCGUACCGCAAACCGACACAGGUAGUCAAGAUGAGAAUUCUAAGGUGAGCGAGCGAACUCUCGUUAAGGAACUCGGCAAAAUGACCCCGUAACUUCGGGAGAAGGGGUGCUCUUUAGGGUUAACGCCCAGAAGAGCCGCAGUGAAUAGGCCCAAGCGACUGUUUAUCAAAAACACAGGUCUCUGCUAAACCGUAAGGUGAUGUAUAGGGGCUGACGCCUGCCCGGUGCUGGAAGGUUAAGAGGAGUGGUUAGCUUCUGCGAAGCUACGAAUCGAAGCCCCAGUAAACGGCGGCCGUAACUAUAACGGUCCUAAGGUAGCGAAAUUCCUUGUCGGGUAAGUUCCGAC